UAAAUCCCAACUCACAAAUUAAGAAAAAAAUUAAAGAAUAAUCAAUGAAUAAAUAAAAAGCCGUAAAUUAUAGCAACAACAGGCUGCCAACGAAAUUAUAGCAAUGAAUUAGAGGGAGGCUGACACGAUUGUGAUGAAUCGGAGGCAAGGCUGACACAAGCAGGAUAGAGUGAACUACAAUAGGUUGGGUACAACGGCGAUGACAGCAGCGUCAUAGCGAGAUGAACGGUAAAGGGGUGGCCGAUAGGUGAUCGUGGUGGAUUGGGCUGUGUGUCGGCAAUAGUGAGAGAGAUGGUGAUUAUUGGUGAGUGUGUCAGCUAGUGUUAGAGACAGAUAGGGUGGAUGUUGUGUGUGUGUGUGUGGUUUUAUGGUUUAGAAAUACUUUAUUUAUUUAUAUUUUUAUUUUUAAAUACUUUUUAGUUUUAAGUAAAGAAUUGAUUGGUUUGUCG
RNAcentral lists this long non-coding RNA (449 nucleotides) under Citrus maxima (pomelo). Its description in RNAcentral is "long non-coding RNA (CMAX_LNC002234)". Lineage: Eukaryota; Viridiplantae; Streptophyta; Magnoliopsida; Sapindales; Rutaceae. The record is from RNAcentral.